GGGUGCCCGAGCCAGAAACCGAACGGGAAGACACCCGUCCUGAGACGAGCGUCGCUGACGAAGUUGCUCUGGAGGAGCCAGCCGAGGACGAGACAUUGAGGUCUGUGCUCACAGCAGACCAGCCUGACAUGUCCGGUGACACAUCGGGAAAAGAGGAAGACGCGGAGUCCACUGACGAGGAGGAAGGGGUGCCCGAGCCAGAAACCGAACGGGAAGACACCCGUCCUGAGACGAGCGUCGCUGACGAAGUUGCUCUGGAGGAGCCAGCCGAGGACGAGACUUUGAGGUCUGUGCUCACAGCAGACCAGCCUGACAUG
Molecule: non-coding RNA, 317 nt
Organism: Vicugna pacos (alpaca)
Lineage: Eukaryota; Metazoa; Chordata; Mammalia; Artiodactyla; Camelidae
Source: RefSeq, a predicted model, not a curated record